This is a non-coding RNA of Oryza meridionalis, 205 nucleotides long. NCBI's taxonomy places the organism in Eukaryota, Viridiplantae, Streptophyta, Magnoliopsida, Poales, Poaceae. The record is from Rfam.
AAAGACUGCAGUUUUGUACCGUUUAUAUCCAACAUUUGAUUGUUUGUCUUACUUGAAAAAAAAUAUGAUUAGUAUUUUUAUUGUUAUUAGAUGAUAAAAUAUGAAUAGUCCUUUAUGUGUGACUUUUUUUUUAAUUUUUUCUUAAAAUUUUCAAAUAAGAUGAACGGUCAAACGUUGGACAUGAAAACCCACAACUGCACUUAGA